This is a long non-coding RNA of Oncorhynchus keta (chum salmon), 871 nucleotides long. RefSeq lists it as uncharacterized. The record is from RefSeq and is a predicted model, not a curated record. The transcript has 7 exons. Lineage: Eukaryota; Metazoa; Chordata; Actinopteri; Salmoniformes; Salmonidae.
GUUCUCCUAUGUUAUUAUCACUGUGCCAUGAUCAUACUGGUCACUUCUCUUCUACAUGAAGCAGGUAGGUUCUCCUCUGUUAUUAUCACUGUGCCAUGAUCAUACUGGUCACUUCUCUUCUACAUGAAGCAGGUAGGUUCUCCUCUGUUCUGAUCACUGUGCCAUGAUCAUACUGGUCACUUCUCUUCUACAUGAAGCAGGUAGGUUCUCCUCUGUUCUGAUCACUGUGCCAUGAUCAUACUGGUCACUUCUCUUCUACAUGAAGCAGGUAGGUUCUCCUCUGUUCUGAUCACUGUGCCAUGAUCAUACUGGUCACUUCUCUUCUACAUGAAGCAGGUAGGUUCUCCUCUGUUCUGAUCACUGUGCCAUGAUCAUACUGGUCACUUCUCUUCUACAUGAAGCAGGUAGGUUCUCCUCUGUUCUGAUCACUGUGCCAUGAUCAUACUGGUCACUUCUCUUCUACAUGAAGCAGGUAGGUUCUCCUCUGUUCUGAUCACUGUGCCAUGAUCAUACUGGUCACUUCUCUUCUACAUGAAGCAGGUAGGUUCUCCUCUGUUCUGAUCACUGUGCCAUGAUCAUACUGGUCACUUCUCUUCUACAUGAAGCAGGUAGGUUCUCCUCUGUUCUGAUCACUGUGCCAUGAUCAUACUGGUCACUUCUCUUCUACAUGAAGCAGGUAGGUUCUCCUCUGUUCUGAUCACUGUGCCAUGAUCAUACUGGUCACUUCUCUUCUACAUGAAGCAGGUAGGUUCUCCUCUGUUCUGAUCACUGUGCCAUGAUCAUACUGGUCACUUCUCUUCUACAUGAAGCAGGUAGGUUCUCCUCUGUUCUGAUCACUGUGCCAUGAUCAUACUGGUAACUUCUCUUCUAC